Molecule: non-coding RNA, 69 nt
Filed under: human gut metagenome
Description: Cyclic di-GMP-I riboswitch
Rfam family: c-di-GMP-I riboswitch aptamer
About the family: GEMM was predicted in a large-scale screen for bacterial structured RNA regulatory elements. Genes associated with GEMM are involved in a diverse array of functions, including chemotaxis regulation, signal transduction, secretion and chitin.
Source: RNAcentral
AUGUAAAUGGCAAAACUACUGAAAAGUAGCGACGCAAAACUAUAGGGCCUUAAAUGGUAGCCAGUUGUC